UACGUAGGGUGCGAGCGUUAAUCGGAAUUACUGGGCGUAAAGCGUGCGCAGGCGGUUCGUUGUGUCGGCGGUGAAAGCCCCGGGCUUAACCUGGGAAUGGCCGUUGAAACUGGCGAACUGGAGUGUGGCAGAGGGGGGUGGAAUUCCGCGUGUAGCAGUGAAAUGCGUAGAGAUGCGGAGGAACACCGAUGGCGAAGGCAGCCCCCUGGGCUAACACUGACGCUCAGGCACGAAAGCGUGGGGAGCAAACGGG
This 253-nucleotide ribosomal RNA is filed under the name uncultured bacterium. Its description in RNAcentral is "partial 16S ribosomal RNA". It matches the Rfam family "Bacterial small subunit ribosomal RNA", at positions 524 to 776 of the family's 1533-position model. The record is from RNAcentral.